AGAGUUUGAUCGUGGCUCAAGAUGAACGCUGACGGCGUGGAUAAGGCAUGCAAGUCGAAUGGGUUUAGACCCAUGGCAAACGGGUUCAGAUAACAUAGGAAUCUACCCUCGAGUCGCGAAUAAUCCGGAGAAAUCCGGAAUAAUACGCGAUACCCUCUACGGAGGAAUGGUUUACCGCUCGAGGAGGAGCCUGUGUCCUAUCAGCUUGUUGGUGAGGUAAUGGCUCACCAAGGCUAUGACGGGUAGGGGGUGUGAGAGCACGGCCCCCAACAUUGGAACUGAGACACUGUCCAAACACCUACGGGUGGCUGCAGUCGAGAAUAUUCCACAAUGGACGAAAGUCUGAUGGAGCGACGCCGCGUGCGGGAUGAAGGCCUUCGGGUUGUAAACCGCUUUUCUACGGGAAGAAUUACGAUGACGGUACCGUAGGAAUAAGAGGUUACUAACUCUGUGCCAGCAGUAGCGGUAAUACAGAGACCUCAAGCGUUAUCCGGAUUUAUUGGGCGUAAAGCGUAAGUAGGCGGGCAUGUUAGUCGGGCGUCAAAGCUCGGGGCUCAACCCCGAAAAGGCGUCCGAAACGGCAUGUCUAGAGAGUGUGAGAGAUCGAUGGAAUUCAUGGUGUAGUAGUGAAAUGCGUUGAUAUCAUGAGGAACACCCAAGGCGUAGGCAAUCGAUUGGCACAUUUCUGACGCUCAGUUACGAAAGCGUGGGUAGCGAAUGGGAUUAGAUACCCCAGUAGUCCACGCCCUAAACGAUGCAUACUAGGUGUGGGGAGAAUCGACCCUCUCUGUGCCGUAGCUAACGCGUUAAGUAUGCCGCCUGGGAAGUACGAGCGCAAGCUUAAAACUCAAAGGAAUAGACGGGGAUCCGCACAAGUGGUGGAGCAUGUGGUUUAAUUCGACGGUAAGCGAGGCACCUCACCAAAGGUUUGAAAUCUAGCUGGAGAUCUCAGAAAUGAGAAGUCCUUCGAGGCCGCUAGACCAGGUGCUGCAUGGUUGUCGUCAGCUCGUGUCGUAAGAUGUUCCGUUCAGUCGGGAAACGAGCGCAACCCCUGUGAAGUGUUAUAUAUGUCACUUCAGACUGCCCUCUCAUUUGGCCAGAAACGAAAGUUUGUGGGCAGGUGAGAGGGAGGAAGGCGGGGAUGACGUCAAAUCAGCAUGGCCCUCUGACACCCUGGGCGACACACGUGCUACAAUGGCCGGAAUAAAGGGUCGCCAAACCGCAAGGUGGAGCCAAUCCCAAAAAUUCGGUAUCAGUUCGGAUUGCAGGCUGCAACUCGCCUGCAUGAAGCAGGAAUCACUAGUAAUCGGGAAUCAGCCAUGUCCCGGUGAAUACGUUCUCGGAUCUUGUACUCACCGCCCGUCACACCAAGAGAGCUGGCAAUACCAGAAGGUCCCACGUCAAACUGGGAACUACGGUAGGGUCAGUAAUAAGGGUGAAGUCGUAACAAGGUA
This 1454-nucleotide ribosomal RNA is filed under the name uncultured bacterium. Its description in RNAcentral is "16S ribosomal RNA". It matches the Rfam family "Bacterial small subunit ribosomal RNA". The record is from RNAcentral.